GGGGGGAGGAGGCAGAGGAGGGUACGGAGCAGGCGCAUGAGGCGACGCGUGCGCGCGCAGGGGUGGCUGAGCGGAGCCGUUAGGAUGUCGCGUUACGGCCGCUAUGGAGGCGAGACCAAGGUGUACGUGGGGAACCUGGGCACGGGCGCUGGAAAGGGUGAGCUGGAGAGAGCCUUCAGCUACUACGGGCCCCUGAGAACCGUGUGGAUCGCGAGGAACCCGCCGGGGUUUGCCUUUGUGGAGUUUGAAGAUCCGAGGGAUGCUGAGGAUGCUGUCCGUGGGCUUGAUGGAAAGGUGAUUUGUGGCUCCAGAGUUAGAGUGGAAGUGUCAACUGGGAUGCCUCGUCGCUCCCGUUACGACAGGCCUCCUGCCCGGCGCCCCUUUGACCCAAACGACAGAUGCUAUGAGUGUGGUGAGAAAGGCCACUAUGCUUAUGAUUGUCACCGCUAUAGUCGCCGAAGGAGGAGCAGGUUUCUUCGUUUGAGUCAGUCGCCUUGAUUCAGAAUGUCACGAGCCUUAAGAUUUCAUGCUGAGGCGCCUUGCAAAUCCGACACUUAAGAUCCUCCUAGACCUUGAGGUGAUCAGCAUAAGAGGCCAGAUCCCCUCGAGCCAUCUACACGUAGCUUCACCUUAUUCUUUAAGGGCAGAAAAAAUUGAGACGGUGAUCGCCGUAACAGUAAAUUUGGCUUUCAAUUGGGGCCCCCCUCCGGUUUAGAAAGAGGAACACCAGAUUGACCACAUUCCCACCUAGAAAAAUCUUCUUGCGUCAAUCAAGCCUCACCCUGGCUCAUUGGGCUGUCAGUUUGAUCGUCGUUAGAUUGAAGAGAACACCUAGAUGCAGCGAUCGGCUAUAGAUACUUCUAGAUCGUCUAGAUCUGCUAGACCUUGGGCCAAAGAGGGUCGACCUGCAAACUUGCAAGGUUUAUUUUAAAUACGCAUUACAGUGUUUUCUAUUCUAAUGUAAUUCUGCAAUGUCAUUCAGCUUUUAACAUUUUUCUAGGUAGUAAAAUGAUCAAGACGAGUAGGCCCAGAGAUUUUUCCAACUGACAGAUGCUAGUUCUUUAGUUGUCUGAAAUAAGUUUUGACUUCAGCAGGGCCUCACAUGCAUUGGUUGCUGCAGCUUUGUCCUCAUACCUCUUUUCUCUAACCUAAACCCAGGUCCCGGUCGAGAUCUCGUUCACGGUCCCGAGGACGAAGGUAUUCUCGCUCACGCAGUCGGAGUCGUGGUAGGAGGUCCAGGUCAGCUUCCUAUCGUCGAUCCCGCUCCGUUUCUCCUCGUAGGUCUAGGUCUGUGUCUCCCCGCCGGUCCCGAUCGGCAUCCUUGAAGAGAUCAAGGUCUAGAUCAAGGUCUAGAUCUAGAUCCAGAUCUGUUACAUGGCCCCGAAGCAGGUCUAGGUCCCAUGGCAGAUCAAAAUCUGGCUCGCCAGCUAAGAGUCAGUCAAAGUCCCGAUCACCAUCUCCAAAGAGAAGUCGUUCACCAUCAGGAAGCCCUCAAAGAAGUGCAAGUCCUGAAAGAAUGGAUUAAAGUUAAUCUUUUAGGAAGAAAGUUAUUUUGCUUACAUUAUUAUAAGGGAUUUUGUGGUGUCUUUGUAAAUGUAAGAAUGUAGAUAGGAGAGUAUAUCAACUAAAAUUUGGCAUGAUCUGGAUCUUCUGAGUUAGUCACACUAAUAGACUAGCACAGGUCUCUUUUUAUUGUAUGAAUUAACUUCCUGUGAAAUGAAAAUGCGGGACUUUUUUAUUGGCACAUUGAAAUAAAAUGUGUAUUUUUAACUAAAACUCCUCUGUAGUAACCCUGCUGCUUCUGUUAACAUUUGGGUAAUUUUAACUGUGUGCCAUGUAAUGUGGAUGACAAAUGUCUAAAAUGGAUGGGAAUGACUAAUACCGGUGUCUUCUCCAAGUAGUCACUUUUCACAGUUACUGUUGAAUGCUACUUGGUGAAAGGAUCAGUUUCUGCUUCAUCUGAAAUAGAAUUGAAAAUCCAUCUCUGUCUGCAGAUGGCCAAAAUCAGCAUAUGCACUUUUUAUUCUUUUUAUGAUAUUUAGUGGUCAUUCAUUUCCUCUCCCUGAUCUGACUAUUCUGCAAAGCUUACUCUGAUGCUUGGCAAGUUGUGAUUACCAGGUGCCCAAAGACUUAGGAUGAACUUUUAUUCAAAACAGUGACAUCUGCAUAAAAAAAUAACAUCUGCAGAAAUCUCUAAACAUAAAUCAUCAAUAACUUGAUGAUUGCUACUGCAGCUUGUUGCAUUUUUUGUUCUUUAGGCUGUUAAUACAAAGAAAACUUGUGUCUUGAAACAUUUUCCUUUUUUGAGGGAAGAUGUAAGGUCUUCUGGCCUACUUUCUGAAGGACCUUAGGAGAAUGUGUUGAGAGGCAAAAGAAAGCUGUUACUAGUCUUUAAGCAUCUCACUUAAACCUUCCUCCUUAAAGUGAUUUUCUCAGCUGACCUCAGGAAUUCUAACCUGCUUCACAGAAAUCCGUAUGGUUUUAAAGCAGCCCAGAUCCUGGAGAUGGUUUUGUUGAAUUAAGCUAUUUUCUUACAGCAAGUGCACACCUGCAGGAUUAAUUAUUUGUGUAUAGGUAUGUCAAACUCUGUGUUUGUCCUCAUUCUGUAGAAAAGAAUUGCAUGAUAAGGCACUUUGACACAGAUCCCAGCAAGAGACUGGAAAUGAUGUUAGACUGAACAAACAAGCUGAUAGCUGGAGGGGAAAAAAGCAAACACAUCUAGCAGAAAUAAACUCAAGUUUCAGCAGCAAACAGGCACUGAAAUGGAAAGUGAGGCUUAUUUCAGCUUCUUAGGAUGUCUCUAAUGGCACUUUGCUUCCAGUGUGUAAAGCACAGCAGAAAAAACCCAACAAGAUUAACUUUGGUCACACUGUGGGUAACCCAUGAUUUUCAAAACCCAGUUUUGCUGUUAAUAGUGACUUUAUGGAACUUUUUAAGUGUAUGAGUUAAUAGUUCAGUUCUGAGCAUACUGUCGUGCUGCAGCAUUGUCUGGCCUUUAUGCCUGGUCCUAACUGUUGGGUGCUUGGUGUUUGCCUUGGACAGUCCUGUGGUGCUCAGUGAUGGGGAUAAAUGUUUCAUCUGCUGGGAGCAAUGAUCGAUAUUCUGGCAAUAUCCGUUAUAAUUCCAUGGUCACCACAGGGCUGGGGAGGGGGAGGGAGGCAGUGACACUGCAGUGAUGUAGCAGAAAUUCCCAAAGUCUGUGUCUUGUGUUUGGAAUAUUUCCUGGUUGUGCAUUGCCUACCCAGUUCAUAGUGUACCUGGUGCGAGGCUUAUGUAUGCCAGUGCUCUGGAAUUUGAUGAGCUUUUUUCUUUUCUGUACUCUUAAGGCAUGCCUACUCCACAAUAAACCUGCAGACUGAUGUGA
Melopsittacus undulatus (budgerigar) is the source of this 3364-nucleotide RNA transcript. It is a transcript of the gene named serine/arginine-rich splicing factor 7, with no coding region annotated. The record is from RefSeq and is a predicted model, not a curated record. The transcript has 9 exons. Lineage: Eukaryota; Metazoa; Chordata; Aves; Psittaciformes; Psittaculidae.